Molecule: ribosomal RNA, 1966 nt
Filed under: human gut metagenome
Description: bacterial LSU rRNA
Rfam family: Bacterial large subunit ribosomal RNA
Source: RNAcentral
AAUCGAACCCGGAGAUAGCUGGUUCUCCUCGAAAUAGCUUUAGGGCUAGCCUCAUGGAUCAUUGGUGGGGGUAGAGCACUGAAUGUGCGCGGGGGCCACAAAGCCUACCAAACGCUAUCAAACUUCGAAUACCAUACAAUGCAGACCAUGGGAGUCAGUCCGCGAGAGAUAAGUUCCGCGGGCAAAAGGGGAACACCCCAGAUCAACCGCUAAGGUCCCCAAGUUCACGUUAAGUGGAGAAGGAUGUGGAAUUGCACAGACAACCAGGAUGUUGGCUCAGAAGCAGCCACACAUUUAAAGAGUGCGUAAUAGCUCACUGGUCGAGUGAUUGUGCGCCGAAGAUGUCCGGGGCUAAACGUGACACCGAAGCGAUGGGUGCGUCUGAAGAAGAUGCGCGGUAGAGGAGCAAUGUGCAGAGGCAGAAGCCGUAUCGAGAGGCACGGUGGACACUGCACAAGAGAGAAUGCCGGUAUGAGUAGCGAGAGGCAUGCGAGAAACAUGCCCGUCGAAAGCCCAAGGUUUCCUGGGGAAGGUUCAUCCGCCCAGGGUAAGUCGGGGCCUAAGCCGAGGACGGAAGUCGUAGGCGAUGGACAGCAGGUGUAGAUUCCUGCACUACCGAUGGAAUGAAGCAGUGACACAGAAGGAUAACUCGAGCAGGGUGAUGGUCAACCCUGUGCAAGCAUCAAGGUUGGGUUGUAGUGAAGUACGCAACCCUAUAAGCUGAGAUGUGAUGCGGACCGAAAUUUCAGUAGGGAAGCGAGUGAGUUCACGCUGGCGAGAAAAGCUGCUAGUACAUCCAAAGGUACCCGUACCGGAAACCGACGCAGGUGGGCGAGGAGAGAAUCCUGAGACGAACGGGAGAACCCUUGUUAAGGAACUCGGCAAAAUGACCCCGUAACUUCGGGAUAAGGGGUGCCUGCGAGAGCAGGCCGCAGAGAAUAGUCACAAGCGACUGUUUAGCAAAAACACAGGUAUCUGCGAAAGCGAGAGCUGACGUAUAGGUGCUGACACCUGCCCGGUGCUGGAAGGUUAAGGGAACAUGUUAGAGCAAUCGAAGCAUCGAACCGAAGCCCCAGUAAACGGCGGCCGUAACUAUAACGGUCCUAAGGUAGCGAAAUUCCUUGUCGGGUAAGUUCCGACCCGCACGAAUGGUGUAACGACUUGUGAGCUGUCUCAACAGGGGGCCCGGUGAAAUUGAAGUAUGGGUGAAGAUGCCCAUUACCCGCGACUGGACGGAAAGACCCCGUAGAGCUUUACUGCAGCCUGAUAUUGAGUUUCGGUAACUGAUGCACAGGAUAGGUGGGAGUCUGAGAGACAUGGGUUUCGGCUCAUGUGGAGACGAUGUUGGGAUACCACUCUUCGGUUACUGAAAUUCUAACAUAGCUCUGUGAAACCAGAGGAUGGACAGUGUCAGGUGGACAGUUUGACUGGGGCGGUCGCCUCCGAAAGAGUAACGGAGGCGCCCAAAGGUACCCUCAGAAUGGAUGGAAACCAUUCGAAGAGCGCAAAGGCAGAAGGGUGCCUGACUGCGAGAGUGACAACUCGAGCAGAGACGAAAGUCGGGCUUAGUGAUCCGGCGGUAUUGAGUGGAAAAGCCGUCGCUUAACGGAUAAAAGCUACCUCGGGGAUAACAGGCUGAUCUCCCCCAAGAGUCCACAUCGACGGGGAGGUUUGGCACCUCGAUGUCGGCUCAUCGCAUCCUGGGGCUGUAUUCGGUCCCAAGGGUUUGGCUGUUCGCCAAUUAAAGCGGCACGCGAGCUGGGUUCAGAACGUCGUGAGACAGUUCGGUCCCUAUCCAUCGUGGGCGUAGGAGUCAUGAGAGGAGCUGUUCCUAGUACGAGAGGACCGGAAUGGACGCACCACUGGUGCAACUGUUGUCGUGCCAACGGCAUAGCAGGGAAGCGAAGUGCGGAUGGGAUAAACGCUGAAGGCAUCUAAGCGUGAAGCCCACCUCAAGAAUAAGUGU